This 242-nucleotide ribosomal RNA is filed under the name uncultured bacterium. RNAcentral describes it as "partial 16S ribosomal RNA". It matches the Rfam family "Bacterial small subunit ribosomal RNA", at positions 92 to 334 of the family's 1533-position model. The record is from RNAcentral.
CGACCGGCGCACGGGUGAGUAACGCGUAUCCAACCUGCCCACCACUUGGGGAUAACCUUGCGAAAGUAAGACUAAUACCCAAUGAUAUCUCUAGAGGACAUCUGAAAGAGAUUAAAGAUUUAUCGGUGAUGGAUGGGGAUGCGUCUGAUUAGCUUGUUGGCGGGGUAACGGCCCACCAAGGCAACGAUCAGUAGGGGUUCUGAGAGGAAGGUCCCCCACAUUGGAACUGAGACACGGUCCAA